AUUGAACGCUGGCGGUAUGCUUAACACAUGCAAGUCGAACGGCAGCAUGGGGUGCUUGCACCCUGAUGGCGAGUGGCGGACGGGUGAGUAACACGUAGGAAUCUACCUAGUAGCGGGGGAUAACCCGAGGAAACUCGGGCUAAUACCGCAUAAUCUCUACGGAGGAAAGAGGGCCUCUUCUUGAAAGCUCUUACUAUUAGAUGAGCCUGCGCCGGAUUAGCUAGUUGGUGGGGUAAAGGCCUACCAAGGCGACGAUCCGUAGCUGGUCUGAGAGGAUGAUCAGCCACACUGGGACUGAGACACGGCCCAGACUCCUACGGGAGGCAGCAGUGGGGAAUAUUGGACAAUGGGGGCAACCCUGAUCCAGCAAUACCGCGUGUGUGAAGAAGGCCUUAGGGCUGUAAAGCACUUUCAGUAGGGAAGAAUGGCGUAUGCUUAAUACGUAUACGAGGUGACGUUACCUACAGAAGAAGCACCGGCUAACUCUGUG
This 490-nucleotide ribosomal RNA is filed under the name uncultured bacterium. Its description in RNAcentral is "bacterial SSU rRNA". It matches the Rfam family "Bacterial small subunit ribosomal RNA", at positions 30 to 507 of the family's 1533-position model. The record is from RNAcentral.